RNAcentral lists this long non-coding RNA (1057 nucleotides) under Canis lupus familiaris (dog). RNAcentral's name for it is "lncRNA (ENSCAFG00000049954.2, ENSCAFG00845003235.1)". Lineage: Eukaryota; Metazoa; Chordata; Mammalia; Carnivora; Canidae. The record is from RNAcentral.
AGAUAAAUGAGAAUGAGUCACACUGGUGAUUCUGUCACCAGAAGGGUGGCCUCAGAGGAGGAGUUACCUGCAUCCAGGGCCCAGAGAACAGCAUCCAUCAGAGUGACUCCAGGCAGAGAACUUGACAUAGGGAGGCUGGAAAAUGAGCCCAAGCUCUAAUCUCCACUAUCAGGCAAGGCUGGAACUGGACAGCAGUAUUACCAGAGCCUCAGCGGGAUUGCAUCUCUGCUUCACCUCCUCUUCUGUGGCCGGAGGAUGGGCCGCCCAGCAUCCGGAGCUGCCUGUAAAGUUCCUCUCAGCGCCUGCAGAAGCUUUGUAGAGGUGCAGCUGACUGUGAUCAGGGGCUUUAUUUGUCUGUGGAAUCUGGGAGCCAGUGGGAGCCAGUGUGAGAAAGGCGAGGUGUACAAGCCUGCCGUCGGAAGUGUUCCAAUCCAAGUUUCUGGAAUUUCAAGCUGCAUGGCAUUAGCUCUAAAAUCCCUCAUGUGUCAAGAGAGAUUUCACACCGGAACUUGAAACUAGGAAAAGACUGGCAGCUUCUUUUCCCUUGAACUGAUUCGUGGGAGACGACUUGAGCGAAACCCAAAAAACCCAUGUUCAGACCUGAUGCUAAGGGGCUGAAUGACGCUGGACAGAACAUAAUACCUUGGGUCCUCAAUUUUGUGAUGAUGGUUAAAUGAGUGAUUCUCAAACCAGUUCUGACAUCUUGAAAAGGUGCUUCUGACUUCACAGUUACCAUGUAAUUAGAGCUUUGAAAUGACAGUGCAGUGAACUCUCCUUGAUAUUCCCCUAAGCCUCUACAUUGAAUGGUGAUGAGGAUCCUAUUUGGAAGCUUUCAAUGGUGUCUUCUCCAGGGGAAAAGGUGAAGAAUAUUUUGUAAGCGACACUGUCUUUUCAAUUUUUACCUCCUGAUUUUGAGCACGGCGAUUCUACUAAGCUGUGUUUUCUUUUCCCUGUGAAAAUGGUUUUGUGAGAAAAUGUAACCAGUGCAAUUAUACUGAACUUUCAUAAGAUGAAACGUUAAUAAAAUGAAUGUUUGACCAAUAAAAUACUUGAUGCU